UCCAGACUCCUACGGGAGGCAGCAGUGGGGAAUAUUGCACAAUGGGGGAAACCCUGAUGCAGCGAUGCCGCGUGAGUGAAGAAGUAUUUCGGUAUGUAAAGCUCUCUCAGCAGGGAAGAAAAUGACGGUACCUGACUAAGAAGCCCCGGCUAACUACGUGCCAGCAGCCGCGGUAAUACGUAGGGGGCAAGCGUUAUCCGGAUUUACUGGGUGUAAAGGGAGCGUAGACGGCAUGGCAAGUCAGAUGUGAAAGCCCGGGGCUCAACCCCGGGACUGCAUUUGAAACUGUCAGGCUGGAGUGCAGGAGAGGUAAGUGGAAUUCCUAGUGUAGCGGUGAAAUGCGUAGAUAUUAGGAGGAACACCAGUGGCGAAGGCGGCUUACUGGACUGUAACUGACGUUGAGGCGCGAAAGCGUGGGGAGCAAACAGGAUUAGAUACCCUCGUAUG
This 447-nucleotide ribosomal RNA is filed under the name uncultured bacterium. Its description in RNAcentral is "bacterial SSU rRNA". It matches the Rfam family "Bacterial small subunit ribosomal RNA", at positions 330 to 793 of the family's 1533-position model. The record is from RNAcentral.